AAACUCUCACUCCCCUAACACUCUUCAUCAUCCAUCACAUCUCCUCUUGCAAACCAACGUAAAACACUAACUAAGAGAUCAAUAUGGCUGGAGUGAUGAAGUUGGCAUGCAUGGUCUUGGCUUGCAUGAUUGUGGCCGGUCCAAUCACAGCGAACGCGCUUAUGAGUUGUGGCACCGUCAACGGCAACCUGGCAGGGUGCAUUGCCUACUUGACCCGAGGUGCUCCACUUACCCAAGGGUGCUGCAACGGCGUUACUAACCUUAAAAACAUGGCCAGUACAACCCCAGACCGUCAGCAAGCUUGCCGUUGCCUUCAAUCUGCCGCUAAAGCCGUUGGUCCCGGUCUCAACACUGCCCGUGCAGCUGGACUUCCUAGCGCAUGCAAAGUCAAUAUUCCUUACAAAAUCAGCGCCAGCACCAACUGCAACACGUAUGUGAUCUUUUCACUCUUAUAAGUAUAUGUUAUAAAUUUUUUAGUUUAUUUUGUUAAAUAUUGGAAACUUAUAUUAACGUUGUUAUGUUAAUUUGUAUGUGAAUGCAGCGUGAGGUGAUGAGCGACGGUCAAAUGAAGCUACUAGCGGAUGUUUCGAAUAUUAUAUAAUCGAUGAGAUAAUAUUAAAUAAAGAUGUUCGAAUGGCUGUACUCUUUUCAAUUUCCUGUCUUUUUUUAUCGUGGCGUUUCUAUUAUGUGAUCGUCUGUACUAUGUUCGCAAACAACGUUCUUUGAAUUUCAGACUUGAAGUUUAAGUUAUUCUAUACUCUAUAUCUAUACUAACACUUACUUUAGUUUAAUCGAUAUGACCAAAAUGAUUAACUUGCAUUACAGUUGGGAAGUAUCAAGUAAACAACAUUUUGUUUUUGUUUGAUAUCGGGAAUCUCAAAACCAAAGUCCACACUAGUUUUUGGACUAUAUAAUGAUAAAAGUCAGAUAUCUACUAAUACUAGUUGAUCAGUAUAUUCGAAAACAUGACUUUCCAAAUGUAAGUUAUUUACUUUUUUUUUGCUAUUAUAAUUAAGAUCAAUAAAAAUGUCUAAGUUUUAAAUCUUUAUCAUUAUAUCCAAACAAUCAUAAUCUUAUUGUUAAUCUCUCAUCAACACACAGUUUUUAAAAUAAAUUAAUUACCCUUUGCAUGAUACCGAAGAGAAACGAAUUCGUUCAAAUAAUUUUAUAACAGGAAAUAAAAUAGAUAACCGAAAUAAAGAUAGAAUGAUUUCUUAGUACUAACUCUUAACAACAGUUUUAUUUAAAUGACUUUUGUAAAAAAAACAAAGUUAACUUAUACACGUACACGUGUCGAAAAUAUUAUUGACAAUGGAUAGCAUGAUUCUUAUUAGAGUCAUGUAAAAGAUAAACACAUGCAAAUAUAUAUAUGAAUAAUAUGUUGUUAAGAUAAACUAGACGAUUAGAAUAUAUAGCACAUCUAUAGUUUGUAAAAUAACUAUUUCUCAACUAGACUUAAGUCUUCGAAAUACAUAAAUAAACAAAACUAUAAAAAUUCAGAAAAAAACAUGAGAGUACGUUAGUAAAAUGUAUUUUUUUGGUAAAAUAAUCACUUUUCAUCAGGUCUUUUUGUAAAGCAGUUUUCAUGUUAGAUAAACGAGAUUUUAAUUUUUUUUAAAAAGAAGUAAACUAACUAUGUUCCUAUCUACACACCUAUAAUUUUGAAACAAUUACAAAAACAAACAAUGAAAAUGCAAAGAAGGACGUAGGCACUGUCACACUACAAAUACGUUAAUAAAAUGUAUUUUGGUCGAAUUAUAACUUUCCAUACGAUAAAGUUGAAUUAACAUGUCAAACAAAAGAGAUGAGUGGUCCUAUACAUAGUUAGGAAUUAGGAACCUCUAAAUUAAAUGAGUACAACCACCAACUACUCCUUCCCUCUAUAAUCUAUCGCAUUCACACCACAUAACAUAUACGUACCUACUCUAUAUAACACUCACUCCCCAAACUCUCUUCAUCAUCCAUCACUACACACAUCUCCUAUUGCAAACGAACAUAAAACACUACCUAAGAGAUCAAUAUGGCUGGAGUGAUGAAGUUGGCAUGCUUGCUCUUGGCCUGCAUGAUUGUGGCCGGUCCAAUCACAUCGAACGCUGCGCUAAGCUGUGGCUCAGUUAACAGCAACUUGGCAGCGUGCAUUGGCUACGUGCUCCAAGGUGGUGUCAUUCCCCCAGCGUGUUGCUCCGGCGUUAAAAACCUCAACAGCAUAGCCAAGACGACCCCAGACCGUCAGCAAGCUUGCAAUUGCAUUCAAGGUGCCGCUAGAGCCUUAGGCUCUGGUCUCAACGCUGGCCGUGCAGCUGGAAUUCCUAAGGCAUGUGGAGUCAAUAUUCCU
This 2335-nucleotide long non-coding RNA is filed under the name Arabidopsis thaliana (thale cress). Its description in RNAcentral is "long non-coding RNA (ATHA_LNC000021)". The record is from RNAcentral. Lineage: Eukaryota; Viridiplantae; Streptophyta; Magnoliopsida; Brassicales; Brassicaceae.